This is a long non-coding RNA of Capsicum annuum, 1649 nucleotides long. RefSeq lists it as uncharacterized. The record is from RefSeq and is a predicted model, not a curated record. NCBI's taxonomy places the organism in Eukaryota, Viridiplantae, Streptophyta, Magnoliopsida, Solanales, Solanaceae. The transcript is spliced from 3 exons.
UUAGUAGAGGGACAAGUAAUUUGGAAUUUAUUUAAAGAAUGAAAAGAAAUUAUAUCCGCAUAUGCGCUAGCUUCAUAUAGUCAUAUCUUCCGGCUUAUAUGAAUCAAGUUAUGAGCUAUAUAUCAAAUGUAAGCUCUUUAGUUGUUUUAUUUUUUUUUUAAAAUAUUUGUGGCUGCUACGCCAUUUUAUUAAUCAAAACAGAAUACAAAAUAAAUCCAGUCAGGUCAUGGGCUAAAAAUAUAAAAUAAAAAUAAAUGAAAAAAAUCUAUAAAAUAUUUUUGGUCCAUCCCACUAUUAAUAGUGACCCAGUCCUUUGUACUAUAUUGAGUCUUCCUCUGUACUCUUGUCAGUUCUUACUCAACCUUUUCAAAUUCCUCAAUAAUUUCGAGAUCCUUACACUCUAUUGUCAUCGGAACCUCUAUUUUCUCCGCUUCCUCCUGUUGGUCAUCCAUGACCUUGCUCCUUUACAUCAACUGCACUUCCUUUUCACAUAAGUGUUUGGGGUUUAGUCACUAUUAUGUGGACUUAAAGAAGACAGACAUCUGGAGUUCGCAACUCUUCCAUCUUUUUAUGGUGGAAUGGAGUUUUCUCCCCCUUUGCAAAUUAGGGCCUGAAGCUGACCUCCAAGUGCCAAAAAUAACAUUUGACGUCGGGAUCCUUAAUUUUUGGUAAAAGAUUUUGUGUGUUAACAUAUCUUAGAAAGACUUGUUUAGAAAUUUUAAUGUUCGUGGGUGUACAACAUACUCUUUUGUAUAUAUUCUUGGUGCAUUUUCUUAUAUUGUUGGGUUUAUCUAUACUUUCAUGCAAGUGACUUUUGUGAAUCCUCAUGUUUGUUGUGGUUUAAUAUUUCUUGUGCUUAUCCUUAUUAUUGGUAUUUGUGAUUUAUAUGCAUUAAGAAUUUUCUUUUCCAUUGUUGGUAGCUCUGUGAAACUGUGAAAUUCUAUCUUGGUGCCUUCCAUCUCUGAUAGAUUAACUAGAUUGUAAGCUAACUAACUGUUCUUUCUGAAAAUAUGCUAAAACUUGACAUUUUACUUUGAAACUUUCUCUCUAAUCUCCUUCACCAUCUCUACAAUCUCUCAUGGAACUCUCCAAACUUUCUUGAUGUUUUUAAUCAUUGCAAGCAAGUUUGUUUCUAGGAUUUUAUCUUGUGCUUUAAUAUUCGAUCAAAAUCUUAGUGUCUCAAGGAUAGAUUUAACGUUUGCUUCCAUGUUUAUAUCCUAACCUAACACUCCAACCUGUACGUAAAGUAAAUCACCUUUGUGGUCUCUUAAACAAAAGCUAUAAGAGUUGGGACCAAGAUUCCCUUUGCUUGUACUAUCAGUGUUGGAUUUAGUGCCAUUUAUUGCUGGAAGCUCCCUUUUGACAACAUGGUGGUAUAAUUUUGGCUUGUAGCCGUCCAAAGUCUUGACCAAGUCUUUUUAGUAUUGUCCUCAAUCCUGUUCUUGAAACUUUAGCCAUGGAUAUAACAUUUUCAGCAUCUAAUGUUUAGAUGUCUGAAUAUAUUCCACUAUUAUAGGUAAGUUGGUGUCUCCUCCAUAUUUUCUUGUGUUCUUUAUCUUUCGUAAUUUUUAUAAGACUAAAUUUGAAAGUGUCUUAUAGACUUUCUGUAAUUUAUUGGUAGUUUUUACAUUCCACCACUUAUUGAUUAG